RNAcentral lists this unclassified non-coding RNA (1148 nucleotides) under Hevea brasiliensis (rubber tree). The record is from RNAcentral. Lineage: Eukaryota; Viridiplantae; Streptophyta; Magnoliopsida; Malpighiales; Euphorbiaceae.
GCCAAACGAAAACCAAUGUUCAUACAUUGUCUUCAACUCAAACUAUAUGUAGUUAAGAAUCUAGACUAAAUUCAUAUCAAGUGUAGCAAAAGAAUAUUAGAUGCUGUAGUAAUCAAACCCUCUAGCAUAAAAUUGUAGAUCAGCUCAUGAGAAAAGGAAUGUGCAUCUUUUCUUGCCUCUGAUUGAGAGUGCUCACAUGCCUAGUGUUGGUGGAAUGUCAAUUAGGAAGUUCUGAUGCUUUCGCCACUCCCUCGGAUCUAUAAUGAGCUAUGGUAUGAUUCGCCUGCUGUAGAGGAAGCAGUAAAUCGUUGUCAAUGCAAUCGUACAACUCUUUGCAGAGGUUGUCUGUUAGUACGGAGAGAGUGAUGAUCUUCGUUCUAGUCUCCAAAAGUUUAUCUUCAGGAUAUUUAGCAAAUGGUUCUUCCAAGAACAUCGAAAGUCUCUCAACGUUUAUUUCAAGUUGCUGCUGCAGGUUUUCAAAAAGGUUCUUCUUUAUUUCCCUAUCUUUUUGUGUCAUUUCAUCCUUGAACAGCGUCUGAUCAAAAACGUAAAAUGAAACUGGAUAGGAACAGGAGAGAAUUCGCCUCAAUUCAAGGAGUCUAUUACAUCCAUUUUCUACCCAGCUGAAGUCCUUUGAUAGCAAUUCCCUUGCUUCGAGUUUCAACACUUCAAACUUUAGUUUUUGCUUCAUGUUUGCUUCAGCCUCCAACGAAUCACGAUGAACCAUAUAGCGCUCAUAAUAAUGAGUAUAGCGCAAGAGAUCAUUUCUGACAGUCGUCGACUUAUCCUCUUCCCCUUCCUUAUAAAUGCCACAAGUGUGACCUCGAAUGCUACUCCAUGUGUGGUCUAAGCCAGUAGCUCCACCGCACAACCAACAAAACGGCUGUCCACAUCUACAUCUUACAAGGUUGCAUCCCCCAUUCUUCUCCACGGCAUUGUGACAGUUUGGGCAAUGUUUGGCAUUUUCACUUAUCCACGUUACUGUCUUCCCAUCGUUCUUGCACUUCUUCAUCCAAAGUUUCCACAUCAGACAUGAACAAGGUGAGUGCGCUUCUGAUAAACAAUUAAAACAGAACUGUACACCACAUGCACAUUCAACUUCACAGCAGUAAUCAUCAUCCUCAAUACGAAUUGCAUUUCCACAAUGA